UACGUAGGUGGCAAGCGUUAUCCGGAUUUAUUGGGUGUAAAGGGCGUGUAGGCGGGAGCGCAAGUCAGAUGUGAAAACUCAGGGCUCAACCCUGAGCCUGCAUUUGAAACUGUGUUUCUUGAGUGCUGGAGAGGCAAUCGGAAUUCCGUGUGUAGCGGUGAAAUGCGUAGAUAUACGGAGGAACACCAGUGGCGAAGGCGGAUUGCUGGACAGCAACUGACGGUGAGGCGCGAAAGCGUGGGGAGCAAACAGG
RNAcentral lists this ribosomal RNA (253 nucleotides) under uncultured bacterium. Its description in RNAcentral is "partial 16S ribosomal RNA". It matches the Rfam family "Bacterial small subunit ribosomal RNA", at positions 524 to 776 of the family's 1533-position model. The record is from RNAcentral.